GCGGGCGUAGCUCAGUUGGCAGAGCAUUAGCUUCCCAAGCUAAGGGUCGCGAGUUCGAAUCUCGUCGCCCGCUCCA
Molecule: transfer RNA, 76 nt
Filed under: Anoxybacter fermentans
Lineage: Bacteria; Bacillati; Bacillota; Clostridia; Halanaerobiales
Description: tRNA-Gly
Rfam family: tRNA
About the family: Transfer RNA (tRNA) molecules are approximately 80 nucleotides in length.
Source: RNAcentral